Molecule: transfer RNA, 103 nt
Organism: Fistulina hepatica ATCC 64428
Lineage: Eukaryota; Fungi; Basidiomycota; Agaricomycetes; Agaricales; Fistulinaceae
Rfam family: tRNA
About the family: Transfer RNA (tRNA) molecules are approximately 80 nucleotides in length. Their secondary structure includes four short double-helical elements and three loops (D, anti-codon, and T loops).
Source: Rfam
GGCUCAGUGGUCUAGUAGUAUGAUUCCUGCUUCGGGUGUGUCCGUCCGCUUUCGUAAGGAAGUUCUAUGCAGGAGGUCCCGGGUUCAAUUCCCGGCUGAGCCC